UUUAUGGAGAGUUUGAUCCUGGCUCAGGAUGAACGCUGGCGGCGUGCCUAAUACAUGCAAGUCGAGCGAACGGACGAGAAGCUUGCUUCUCUGAUGUUAGCGGCGGACGGGUGAGUAACACGUGGAUAACCUACCUAUAAGACUGGGAUAACUUCGGGAAACCGGAGCUAAUACCGGAUAAUAUUUUGAACCGCAUGGUUCAAAAGUGAAAGACGGUCUUGCUGUCACUUAUAGAUGGAUCCGCGCUGCAUUAGCUAGUUGGUAAGGUAAC
RNAcentral lists this ribosomal RNA (271 nucleotides) under Staphylococcus aureus. RNAcentral describes it as "partial 16S ribosomal RNA". It matches the Rfam family "Bacterial small subunit ribosomal RNA", at positions 1 to 261 of the family's 1533-position model. The record is from RNAcentral. Lineage: Bacteria; Bacillati; Bacillota; Bacilli; Caryophanales; Staphylococcaceae.